AUUGAACGCUGGCGGCAUGCUUUACACAUGCAAGUCGAACGGCAGCGCGGUCUUCGCCCGCUCGUCCGGUGGCGGAGUGGCGGGUAAUGCAUGGGAACAUCCCCAGUUAUGGUUGCUAGCGGGGCGAAAGCGGGAUUAAUACGGCAUUCGACCAUACGAUGUAAGGGGGGAACCAGAAGACCUUGCGCCAUUGCGCGAGUCAAUGUCGGGGUAGCUGGUUGGGGGGGUAAAGGCGUACCAAGGCGACGAUCCGUAGCUGGUCUGAGAGGAUGACCAGCCACACUGGAACUGAGACACGGCCCAGACUCCUACGGGAGGCAGCAGUGGGGAAUUUUGGACAAUGGGGGCAAGCCUGAUCCAGCCAUGCCGCGUGGGGGAAGAAGGCCUUCGGGUUGUAAAGCGCUUUUGUUCGGGAAGAAAAGCUGUGGGCUAAUACCCCGGGGUGAUGACGGUACCGGAAGAAUAAGCACCGGCUAACUACGUG
This 484-nucleotide ribosomal RNA is filed under the name uncultured bacterium. Its description in RNAcentral is "partial 16S ribosomal RNA". It matches the Rfam family "Bacterial small subunit ribosomal RNA", at positions 28 to 507 of the family's 1533-position model. The record is from RNAcentral.